This 550-nucleotide ribosomal RNA is filed under the name uncultured Methanosarcinales archaeon. RNAcentral describes it as "bacterial SSU rRNA". It matches the Rfam family "Archaeal small subunit ribosomal RNA", at positions 339 to 886 of the family's 1478-position model. The record is from RNAcentral. Lineage: Archaea; Methanobacteriati; Methanobacteriota; Methanomicrobia; Methanosarcinales.
GCGCGAAAACUUUACAAUGCUGGAAACAGCGAUAAGGGGACCUCGAGUGCCAGGUUACAAAUCUGGCUGUCGUGAUGCCUAAAAAGCAUUGCAUAGCAAGGGCCGGGCAAGACCGGUGCCAGCCGCCGCGGUAACACCGGCGGCUCGAGUGGUAACCGUUAUUAUUGGGUCUAAAGGGUCUGUAGCCGGCCGGAUAAGUCUCUUGGGAAAUCUGGCAGCUUAACUGUCAGGCUUUCAGGAGAUACUGUCUGGCUCGAGGCCGGGAGAGGUGAGAGGUACUUCGAGGGGUAGGGGUGAAAUCUUGUAAUCCUUGAAGGACCACCAGUGGCGAAGGCGUCUCACCAGAACGGACCUGACGGCAAGGGACGAAAGCUAGGGGCACGAACCGGAUUAGAUACCCGGGUAGUCCUAGCCGUAAACGAUACUCGCUAGGUGUCGGCAACGGUGCGACCGUUGUCGGUGCCGUAGGGAGCCGUGAAGCGAGCCACCUGGGAAGUACGGCCGCGAAGGCUAGAAACGUUAAAGGAAUUGGGCGGGGGAGCGACCAACG